Molecule: small nucleolar RNA, 107 nt
Organism: Arachis stenosperma
Lineage: Eukaryota; Viridiplantae; Streptophyta; Magnoliopsida; Fabales; Fabaceae
Source: RefSeq, a predicted model, not a curated record
AAUAUAUCAAGGGGGCAUUUCCUUGUCAAAUCCUUGAAUCUCUCCCAGGCUUCAUAAAUUGUCUCACCAUCUUGCUGUCUGAAUGUCUACACUUCAGUUCUCCGCCU